Long non-coding RNA from Zonotrichia leucophrys gambelii, 2076 nucleotides. RefSeq lists it as uncharacterized. The record is from RefSeq and is a predicted model, not a curated record. The transcript is spliced from 3 exons. Lineage: Eukaryota; Metazoa; Chordata; Aves; Passeriformes; Passerellidae.
UGACUGCAGUAAUGCUGUCUUAUUGCCAUAAAUAAUAAUAACCAGUCCUCCAAAAGAGCACCUUUUUCCAGUCUGUAUGAAUAACAUGCACCUGACAAGGAAUAAUGGACCUUACAUUUUCCUAGUGAAACUAUCAGGACAGCCAUAGCAUGGCAAAGUGUUGGGGAGAACUUUCUCCUUUACUAAUUCAAAAUUCAUGUAGACAGCUCUUCCUCCAGGCUGAUGCCUGCAAACAGGGGCUUAAUACUAUUUACCUGAAACCACAACAAAAGAAGGGUUGCAAAUUGCACCCAAUGCUUAUAUAAAAGUUGAUUUCUUUUGUUUUAGGAGGGAAAGUUAUUGACAAUUUGCCAACUUCCAGAAGAAAUUCCUAGCAGCUUCUCAAAUCCAGAAACCAUCAUGAGUCCACUCUAAGUGCUGCUUUACCCUGGCCUGGCUUUAGGUGCCAAAUUAUGGCUGGGAGAGGGACUUGGUGGGGAUUUACAGCAGCGGGGAGCCACGGUGGCCAGGAAAAAGCCUUGCCUGUCUCCCAGGGGAGGCUGAGGGUGUAACACACUGAGUUACAGGUGUUUACAAUUUGGGUGCAAUUAGGGCCUGAUCAGCUAGCAAAGUUUUUCACUUAGACAAAGGCUGGCUGGAUUCUUGUCGUGUUCUAGAGUUUUUUACAGAUAAUUUUUGUAAAAAAACAACAAAAUGGGAUGUUACAGUAGUGCCUGUGCCACAGACAGCAGGAUAUCCACGUUCACUGGAAGAAGGGCUCUGGUGUCCUACAAAAGAGCUCCACCCUCAGAUGACAACUUGCAGUUAGCUGGAAAGGCAAAGUUCCAAGGUUCACCUUUAUCACCACGAGGACCUUGAGGACCCUGUCAGGGUAGAUUUGCAAUAAAAGGAAGAUAGAAGGAGAUAAGAGCAUUGCCCAUACAACAGGAAAUAGUGAAUGGAUGACAUCACAAAUACUUUAAAUAUGACUUACAGCAGGACCACGAGCACCAGCAGGACCAGUAGAGCCAGGAGGGCCGGGUGGACCCUGUGACAUGAUUUUCCAGGUGCACCAGCAUUACCUGCAGGUCCAGGAUGGCCAGGGGGUCCUGGAGGGCCAGGAGAGCCAUUGUCACCACGGUCACCCUGCAGACAGUAAGGAGUAAUAAACAUCAUGUUUUACAGAACUCAAUAUAAGGAGUAUAUUCAGUGGAGCACAGAAGGUUCAAGGAACAAAUUACAUAGCACAUAGAUUGCAUAUGUAGUUAAUGUAGUUCAUGUCUCAUUUGGUGGGCAGUCUAAGGAUACUGGGGAUUUCUUACUUUGCCUCCUGGGGAUCCGUCACGUCCAGGCAAGCCAUCAGAGCCAGGGUUACCCUGAAAAACAGAGUGGCACAGUUUGUUCACAAACUGCAUGACCAGUAGACAGCUUGUUUCCCAGUAAGUUUCAGCAGUGCUCAUCAAAGAAAGAGUUUUCAAGAGAAAAGAGUUCCUGGUGGAGGAGUGGCUCCUAAAAGACCUUUAAGACCUGCAUUAUUUUGUAGGCAGUGCAGUUCCAAGCGAGACAGAUGAUGUCUGCAGGCAGGGAAUGGGAUAGCAGGGACAGGAGGCCACAUCUUACAGGAGGGCAGAAUCUGCCCAGGCCCCUGCCUUGUGGAUCUUAAAGCAUAUUUGCCCCCAGAAGCUCCCAUUUUUAACUCACAAGGUAGCAUGGAAAUCCCAUCCACUCACAUCUCUGCCAGGCUCUCCAGGUAAGCCUCUUUGUCCAAUAGGACCUUGGGGACCCGGAGCACCGCGUUCUCCUGGGAUACCGUUGGUGCCUGGUUUGCCAUCUUCACCCUGAACAAAAAGAGAAAGGAUUCCAUUGCAGAUAAUGUUUUUAGGAGAUACCAGUGCAUUUUGCAUCUUAUUAACUAUGCAGGGAUUUUGAAGGAGACCUAAUGAAGUGAUGGGCCAAUGUGGCUUUCCUGGUUGUGAAUACGCAAAACAAGAGGUAGAAACUUGGCCAAACUUGUUUCUUUUCAUUGCUGGUAAUAUUCCUGCAAGGCCAUUGAAUGUUUCUCAUUAACUGACUACUAAGAAAUAAUAAACAGAUAUA